AUUGAACGCUGGCGGCAUGCCUUACACAUGCAAGUCGAACGGCAGCACGGGAGCAAUCCUGGUGGCGAGUGGCGAACGGGUGAGUAAUAUAUCGGAACGUGCCCGGUCGUGGGGGAUAACGUAGCGAAAGCUACGCUAAUACCGCAUACGAUCUACGGAUGAAAGCGGGGGAUCGCAAGACCUCGCGCGAUUGGAGCGGCCGAUAUCAGAUUAGGUAGUUGGUGAGGUAAAGGCUCACCAAGCCGACGAUCUGUAGCUGGUCUGAGAGGACGACCAGCCACACUGGGACUGAGACACGGCCCAGACUCCUACGGGAGGCAGCAGUGGGGAAUUUUGGACAAAUGGGCGCAAGCCUGAUCCAGCAAUGCCGCGUGCAGGAUGAAGGCCU
This 388-nucleotide ribosomal RNA is filed under the name uncultured bacterium. RNAcentral's name for it is "bacterial SSU rRNA". It matches the Rfam family "Bacterial small subunit ribosomal RNA", at positions 29 to 417 of the family's 1533-position model. The record is from RNAcentral.